AAUCCAUAGGUUAAUGAGGCGAACCGGGGGAACUGAAACAUCUAAGUACCCCGAGGAAAAGAAAUCAACCGAGAUUCCCCCAGUAGCGGCGAGCGAACGGGGAGGAGCCCAGAGCCUGAAUCAGCAUGUGUGUUAGUGGAAGCGUCUGGAAAGGCGCGCGAUACAGGGUGACAGCCCCGUACACAAAAGCGCAUGUGCUGUGAGCUCGAUGAGUAGGGCGGGACACGUGGUAUCCUGUCUGAAUAUGGGGGGACCAUCCUCCAAGGCUAAAUACUCCUGACUGACCGAUAGUGAACCAGUACCGUGAGGGAAAGGCGAAAAGAACCCCGGCGAGGGGAGUGAAAAAGAACCUGAAACCGUGUACGUACAAGCAGUGGGAGCACCCUUUGGGUGUGACUGCGUACCUUUUGUAUAAUGGGUCAGCGACUUAUAUUCUGUAGCAAGGUUAACCGAAUAGGGGAGCCGGAGGGAAACCGAGUCUUAACCGGGCGUUAAGUUGCAGGGUAUAGACCCGAAACCCGGUGAUCUAGCCAUGGGCAGGUUGAAGGUUGGGUAACACUAACUGGAGGACCGAACCGACUAAUGUUGAAAAAUUAGCGGAUGACCUGUGGCUGGGGGUGAAAGGCCAAUCAAACCGGGAGAUAGCUGGUUCUCCCCGAAAGCUAUUUAGGUAGCGCCUCGUGAAUUCAUCUCCGGGGGUAGAGCACUGUUUCGGCUAGGGGGCCAUCCCGGCUUACCAACCCGAUGCAAACUGCGAAUACCGGAGAAUGUUAUCACGGGAGACACACGGCGGGUGCUAACGUCCGUCGUGAAGAGGGAAACAACCCAGACCGCCAGCUAAGGUCCCAAAGUCAUGGUUAAGUGGGAAACGAUGUGGGAAGGCCCAGACAGCCAGGAUGUUGGCUUAGAAGCAGCCAUCAUUUAAAGAAAGCGUAAUAGCUCACUGGUCGAGUCGGCCUGCGCGGAAGAUGUAACGGGGCUAAACCAUGCACCGAAGCUGCGGCAGCGACACUGUGUGUUGUUGGGUAGGGGAGCGUUCUGUAAGCCUGUGAAGGUGUGUCGUGAGGCAUGCUGGAGGUAUCAGAAGUGCGAAUGCUGACAUAAGUAAC
RNAcentral lists this ribosomal RNA (1109 nucleotides) under Salmonella enterica subsp. enterica serovar Enteritidis. RNAcentral's name for it is "partial 23S ribosomal RNA". It matches the Rfam family "Bacterial large subunit ribosomal RNA", at positions 161 to 1310 of the family's 2925-position model. Lineage: Bacteria; Pseudomonadati; Pseudomonadota; Gammaproteobacteria; Enterobacterales; Enterobacteriaceae. The record is from RNAcentral.